GGGGAAUAUUGCACAAUGGGCGCAAGCCUGAUGCAGCCAUGCCGCGUGUGUGAAGAAGGCCUUAGGGUUGUAAAGCACUUUCAGCGAGGAGGAAGGCAUCACACUUAAUACGUGUGGUGAUUGACGUUACUCGCAGAAGAAGCACCGGCUAACUCCGUGCCAGCAGCCGCGGUAAUACGGAGGGUGCAAGCGUUAAUCGGAAUUACUGGGCGUAAAGCGCACGCAGGCGGUUUGUUAAGUCAGAUGUGAAAUCCCCGCGCUUAACGUGGGAACUGCAUUUGAAACUGGCAAGCUAGAGUCUUGUAGAGGGGGGUAGAAUUCCAGGUGUAGCGGUGAAAUGCGUAGAGAUCUGGAGGAAUACCGGUGGCGAAGGCGGCCCCCUGGACAAAGACUGACGCUCAGGUGCGAAAGCGUGGGGAGCAAAC
This 425-nucleotide ribosomal RNA is filed under the name uncultured bacterium. RNAcentral describes it as "bacterial SSU rRNA". It matches the Rfam family "Bacterial small subunit ribosomal RNA", at positions 356 to 773 of the family's 1533-position model. The record is from RNAcentral.